Molecule: long non-coding RNA, 409 nt
Organism: Lemur catta (Ring-tailed lemur)
Lineage: Eukaryota; Metazoa; Chordata; Mammalia; Primates; Lemuridae
Exons: 5
Source: RefSeq, a predicted model, not a curated record
GUUACUUGAAGAGCUGAUUCCACGCUUGGAAUUUAUCCUCAUAUAGAGUGUGAGAAAUGGAUCCAACUUCAUCUUUCACAGGUGAUGAAGCCGCCCAGUGCCGCCCGUAAAACAUCUCUUCUGCUAUCGGAGUGGCCGUCACCAGAGAAAGAAGAUGGCACAGACCCUCGUUCUCUUAUCAGAGAAGCAGCAGAGGAUGCGCAUUUGCAUAACAGAUCCUUGUCCGAGGGCAGGACCUGCUGAGACGCCGGGGUGUCACCGGCCCUCGGCGAACACUUUGCUUCUCCAGUGUUUCAAGUGAUGGCUCCACAGUGUGGCCCAGGAAGAUGUGACAACACGUUGGUCCUGUCACGUUCAUGUUCUUCUGUUCGUUCCCAGAUGGUGUUCCCACAUGCAGACUGAAGCCGUG